UACAGAGGUCUCAAGCGUUGUUCGGAUUCAUUGGGCGUAAAGGGCGAGUAGGCGGCGCGCUAAGUCGGGUGUGAAAUCUCGGGGCUUAACUCCGAAACUGCAUUCGAUACUGCCGUGCUUGAGGACUGGAGAGGAGACUGGAAUUUACGGUGUAGCGGUGAAAUGCGUAGAUAUCGUAAGGAAGACCAGUGGCGAAGGCGGGUCUCUGGACAGUUCCUGACGCUGAGGCACGAAGGUCAGGGGAGCAAACGGG
RNAcentral lists this ribosomal RNA (253 nucleotides) under uncultured bacterium. Its description in RNAcentral is "partial 16S ribosomal RNA". It matches the Rfam family "Bacterial small subunit ribosomal RNA", at positions 524 to 776 of the family's 1533-position model. The record is from RNAcentral.